CACGUAGUUAGCCGGGGCUUCUUAGUCAGGUACCGUCAUUCUCUUCCCUGCUGAUAGGGCUUUACAUACCGAAAUACUUCUUCACCCACGCGGCGUUGCUGCAUCAGGGUUUCCCCCAUUGUGCAAUAUUCCCCACUGCUGCCUCCCGUAGGAGUUUGGGCCGUGUCUCAGUCCCAAUGUGGCCGGCCACCCUCUCAGGUCGGCUACUGAUCGUCGCCUUGGUGGGCCGUUACCCCGCCAACCAGCUAAUCAGACGCGGAUCCAUCUCAUACCGCCGGAGCUUUUCACCCGGAAGCAUGCGCUCCCGUGUGCUUAUGCGGUAUUAGCAGUCAUUUCUAACUGUUAUCCCCCUGUAUGAGGCAGGUUAUCCACGCGUUACUCACCCGUCCGCCGCUAAAGCUAACACACUUCCUUCCGAAAAAUUCCGUGUCUUUGCUUCCGCUCGACUUGCAUGUGUUAAGCACGCCGCCAGCGUUCAUCCUGAGCCAGGAUCAAACUCU
This 500-nucleotide ribosomal RNA is filed under the name uncultured Eubacteriales bacterium. RNAcentral's name for it is "uncultured Clostridiales bacterium partial 16S ribosomal RNA". The record is from RNAcentral. Lineage: Bacteria; Bacillati; Bacillota; Clostridia; Eubacteriales.